AUCACAAGUCAUUAAACAAAGAUAUGUGUGAGACUAUCGCUAAAUAACGAACGACCAAUGCGUUUGAAGAUGAGGAUUUGCAGCAAACAAAUAGAACUUAUUGAUUUAGAAGAUAAUAAAAAAAAUAGCCGAAUCUAUGUUUACUUUUCGUAUUCCAUCCAUCAUUUUUAAACACGCCGAACAUGCGCAGAUUUAUUUUCAUAUCUGAAUAUAACAUUCAACUGAAAAAAA
This 231-nucleotide long non-coding RNA is filed under the name Mytilus galloprovincialis (Mediterranean mussel). Lineage: Eukaryota; Metazoa; Mollusca; Bivalvia; Mytilida; Mytilidae. The record is from RNAcentral.